GGAGAGGUGGCCACCAUGUUGUGUGGAAGUGUUGGCUGAACAGGCUCAACAUGGCUCCCACAAGGAUCAGCUCAGCCCAGAGUGAGCUUGUGCAAGGCAUGCCCAUGCUGAGAGGAGGCUUGUUUGCAGCAACAGACAUGGCAGCUGAGACUAAGGAAACUGGAGACCCAAUCGCAAAGGACAUAGAGAAAACUGAGGUACCCAAUGACUUCUUUGUUACAAUCUUCACUGGCAAGGGCUCUAGCUGCACCGCCCAAACUGCAGAAAGCAAAGUGUAUGAUAUGAACAAUCUCUGGAAGGUCAACAAACUUUGUUGAAUAUGUUGGAAUGUCAAAGCUGAGUUUAACAGAAAGUCAUUGAGCAGGCACACUGGACUGGGAAGGCAAAAAGGGU
RNAcentral lists this long non-coding RNA (393 nucleotides) under Gallus gallus (chicken). The record is from RNAcentral. Lineage: Eukaryota; Metazoa; Chordata; Aves; Galliformes; Phasianidae.